RNAcentral lists this ribosomal RNA (531 nucleotides) under uncultured bacterium. RNAcentral describes it as "bacterial SSU rRNA". It matches the Rfam family "Bacterial small subunit ribosomal RNA", at positions 772 to 1301 of the family's 1533-position model. The record is from RNAcentral.
ACUCAAUAGAUACCCGGGUAGUCCACGCCGUAAACGAUGAGUGCUAAGUGUUAGAGGGUUUCCGCCCUUUAGUGCUGCAGCUAAACGCAUUAAGCACUCCGCCUGGGGAGUACGGCCGCAAGGCUGAAACUCAAAGGAAUUGACGGGGGCCCGCACAAGCGGUGGAGCAUGUGGUUUAAUUCGAAGCAACGCGAAGAACCUUACCAGGUCUUGACAUCCUCUGACACUCCUAGAGAUAGGACUUUCCCCUUCGGGGGACAGAGUGACAGGUGGUGCAUGGUUGUCGUCAGCUCGUGUCGUGAGAUGUUGGGUUAAGUCCCGCAACGAGCGCAACCCUUGAUCUUAGUUGCCAGCAUUCAGUUGGGCACUCUAAGGUGACUGCCGGUGACAAACCGGAGGAAGGUGGGGAUGACGUCAAAUCAUCAUGCCCCUUAUGACCUGGGCUACACACGUGCUACAAUGGAUGGUACAAAGGGCAGCGAAGCCGCGAGGUGGAGCCAAUCCCAUAAAACCAUUCUCAGUUCGGAUUGC